UGGGGUAUCGCCAAGCGGUAAGGCACCGGACUGAUUCCGGCAUUCCGAGGUUCGAAUCCUCGUACCCCAGCCA
This 73-nucleotide transfer RNA is filed under the name Escherichia coli 2-316-03_S1_C1. Its description in RNAcentral is "tRNA-Ser". It matches the Rfam family "tRNA". From Rfam's summary of the family: Transfer RNA (tRNA) molecules are approximately 80 nucleotides in length. Their secondary structure includes four short double-helical elements and three loops (D, anti-codon, and T loops). Lineage: Bacteria; Pseudomonadati; Pseudomonadota; Gammaproteobacteria; Enterobacterales; Enterobacteriaceae. The record is from RNAcentral.